GACGAACGCUGGCGGCGUGCUUAACACAUGCAAGUCGAACGGAAAGGCCCUGCUUGCAGGGUACUCGAGUGGCGAACGGGUGAGUAACACGUGGGUGAUCUGCCCUGCACUUCGGGAUAAGCCUGGGAAACUGGGUCUAAUACCGGAUAGGAGCCAUUUUUAGUGUGAUGGUUGGAAAGUUUUUUCGGUGUAGGAUGAGCUCGCGGCCUAUCAGCUUGUUGGUGGGGUAAUGGCCUACCAAGGCGGCGACGGGUAGCCGGCCUGAGAGGGUGGACGGCCACAUUGGGCCUGCGGUACGGCCCAGCAUCGUACGGGCGGCAGCGGUGGAGAAUAUUGCAGAAUGGGCGCAAGCCUGAUGCAGCGGCGCCGCGUGUGGGAUGCCGGCCUUCGGGUGGUAAACACCUUUCGCUAGAGCCGAAGCUUUUUGUGCCGGUCCCUAGAUAAGAAGCACCGGCUACCUCCGU
This 464-nucleotide ribosomal RNA is filed under the name uncultured bacterium. RNAcentral describes it as "partial 16S ribosomal RNA". It matches the Rfam family "Bacterial small subunit ribosomal RNA", at positions 28 to 506 of the family's 1533-position model. The record is from RNAcentral.